Molecule: ribosomal RNA, 492 nt
Filed under: uncultured bacterium
Lineage: Bacteria
Description: partial 16S ribosomal RNA
Rfam family: Bacterial small subunit ribosomal RNA
Source: RNAcentral
AGUGAACGCUGGCGGUAGGCCUAACACAUGCAAGUCGAACGGCAGCACAGUAAGAGCUUGCUCUUACGGGUGGCGAGUGGCGGACGGGUGAGGAAUACAUCGGAAUCUACUUUUUCGUGGGGGAUAACGUAGGGAAACUUACGCUAAUACCGCAUACGACCUACGGGUGAAAGCAGGGGAUCUUCGGACCUUGCGCGAUUGAAUGAGCCGAUGUCGGAUUAGCUAGUUGGCGGGGUAAAGGCCCACCAAGGCGACGAUCCGUAGCUGGUCUGAGAGGAUGAUCAGCCACACUGGAACUGAGACACGGUCCAGACUCCUACGGGAGGCAGCAGUGGGGAAUAUUGGACAAUGGGCGCAAGCCUGAUCCAGCCAUACCGCGUGGGUGAAGAAGGCCUUCGGGUUGUAAAGCCCUUUUGUUGGGAUAGAAAAGCAGCAGGUUAAUACCCCGCUGUUCUGACGGUACCCAAGGAAUAAGCACCGGCUAACUUCGUG